AUCGCAUCCAUCAAGCGUCUUUCAUUAUGCUUAAAGGUCAACAGUGUAGAGGAUGUGUAUACUGAUGGAAUUGUCUUCAAUCAACUUGAACAUCUCAAGCUAUGCACAUGCAACACAUAUUGGUCAAAAUUACUUGUCCAAUUGCUCGAAAAUGCUCCUAAACUACAAGUCCUCGAGCUCUAUGUCAAUGAACAUUCACCUAUUAGUAGGACUCCAAUGGUUUACUGGAAGAAUCAACUGAGUUGUGUUCCUCAAUGUUUUGUGACGAGUCUGGAAACUUUUAAGUGGAUAGGGUGUGAAGGAAGACAAGAAGAAAUAGAUGUGGUCGCAUAUAUCCUGAACAAUGCUCGUUGCUUAAAGACUGCAACAGUCUUAAUUGGUCCUCAAAGGAAACAACAGAUGAUUAAUGAGUUGUCACUUUCUUCCCUAGCUUCAACCACAUGCAAGCUCACGUUUUAAUUUGACUAGUUGAAUGAAUGAUUUGAUGAACAGGAUUUGAAAUUGCAUUUACUCUCUCUAUCUAUUUUUAUUCUCUCAUUGGUUAUUGAUAUUUGCUUUUUGGUUGUCAAACCUC
Arabidopsis lyrata subsp. lyrata is the source of this 574-nucleotide long non-coding RNA. RefSeq lists it as uncharacterized. Lineage: Eukaryota; Viridiplantae; Streptophyta; Magnoliopsida; Brassicales; Brassicaceae. The record is from RefSeq and is a predicted model, not a curated record. The transcript is spliced from 3 exons.